CUUGGAAAGCCCAGUACCUGGUGAGUAGGGAAGUGUCCUCCCAGGUGGUUCCAACCUUUAACCCAAUUCCUCUGUCUUGGAGGCAAAGGGAAAGGACGUGGCUGAUCCCCGCAGAGCCCAAGGCCAGCCACCAUCCUUUCAUGGAGCCAGGCAGCUUCGAGAAGCCACUGAGGCUCCUUGUGCUCCUUGUGUGGGCACAAAGUGUGGGCUUCUGGAGGGGGUCCUUGGACCUCUAUCUCAGCAGGGACAUUCCUCCUCCCCCCGCCUUCCAGACCUCCUGCUCCAGAUGCCUGGCUUCUCCAGGGCACCCCGAUGGGUGGCUCUGCCACCCCAGGACACUGGACUGGGGCCACCCUUACAGAACCGGUUCGAAGCCAAACAAUGGCACGUCACAGUCCAGCUGAGCCGGAGGCCUCAGCAGGGCAGCGGGCCCCUUCCCUGGCCCCAGAGGUGAAGGAGGGCGACUUCCCCAGGGAGAGGAAGCAGAAUGACGGCCUGCAGCUUUCCUGCCGCGGGAGGGGAACUUCAGG
This 530-nucleotide long non-coding RNA is filed under the name Homo sapiens (human). Its description in RNAcentral is "PREDICTED lncRNA (TCONS_00111245)". The record is from RNAcentral. Lineage: Eukaryota; Metazoa; Chordata; Mammalia; Primates; Hominidae.